GUGGGGAAUAUUGGACAAUGGGCGAAAGCCUGAUCCAGCAAUGCCGCGUGAGUGAUGAAGGCCCUAGGGUUGUAAAGCUCUUUUACCCGGGAUGAUAAUGACAGUACCGGGAGAAUAAGCUCCGGCUAACUUCGUGCCAGCAGCCGCGGUAAUACGAGGGGAGCUAGCGUUGUUCGGAAUUACUGGGCGUAAAGCGCACGUAGGCGGUUACUCAAGUCAGAGGUGAAAGCCCGGGGCUCAACCCCGGAACUGCCUUUGAAACUAGGUAACUAGAAUCUUGGAGAGGUCAGUGGAAUUCCGAGUGUAGAGGUGAAAUUCGUAGAUAUUCGGAAGAACACCAGUGGCGAAGGCGACUGACUGGACAAGUAUUGACGCUGAGGUGCGAAAGCGUGGGGAGCAAACAGGAUUAGAUACCCUUGUAGUCC
Molecule: ribosomal RNA, 425 nt
Filed under: uncultured bacterium
Lineage: Bacteria
Description: bacterial SSU rRNA
Rfam family: Bacterial small subunit ribosomal RNA
Source: RNAcentral